Molecule: ribosomal RNA, 32 nt
Filed under: Elderia arenivaga
Lineage: Eukaryota; Fungi; Ascomycota; Pezizomycetes; Pezizales; Pezizaceae
Also listed under: 3 other names
Description: partial 18S ribosomal RNA
Source: RNAcentral
GGUUUCCGUAGGUGACCUGCGGAGGAUCAUUA